RNAcentral lists this transfer RNA (71 nucleotides) under Candidatus Berkelbacteria bacterium. Its description in RNAcentral is "tRNA-Met". It matches the Rfam family "tRNA". Rfam says of the family: Transfer RNA (tRNA) molecules are approximately 80 nucleotides in length. Their secondary structure includes four short double-helical elements and three loops (D, anti-codon, and T loops). The record is from RNAcentral. Lineage: Bacteria; Candidatus Berkelbacteria.
AGCGGGGUAGGGGAAUGGCACCCCGGUUGGCUCAUAACCAACAGGUACAGGUUCGAAUCCUGUCCCCGCUA